Molecule: ribosomal RNA, 256 nt
Filed under: uncultured bacterium
Lineage: Bacteria
Description: partial 16S ribosomal RNA
Rfam family: Bacterial small subunit ribosomal RNA
Source: RNAcentral
UACGGGGGGAGCAAGCGUUGUUCGGAUUUACUGGGCGUAAAGGGCGCGUAGGCGGCCAGCACAAGUCAGUUGUGAAAUCUCCGAGCUUUAACUCGGAAAGGUCAACUGAUACUGUGCGGCUAGAGUGCAGAAGGGGCAACUGGAAUUCUUGGUUGUAGCGGUGAAAUGCGUAGAUAUCAAGAGGAACACCUGCGGCGAAGGCGGGUUGCUGGGCUGACACUGACGCUGAAGCGCGAAAGCCAGGGGAGCGAACGGG